UACGGGGGGGGCAAGCGUUGUUCGGAAUUACUGGGCGUAAAGGGCCAGUAGGCGGCCAACUAAGUCGGAUGUGAAAUCCCCGGGCUCAACCUGGGAAUUGCAUUCGAUACUGGAUAGCUAGAGUUCGGCAGAGGGAAGCGGAAUUUCUGGUGUAGCGGUGAAAUGCGUAGAUAUCAGAAGGAACAUCAGUGGCGAAAGCGGCUUCCUGGACCAGAACUGACGAUCAGGCUCGAAAGCGUGGGGAGCAAACAGG
This 253-nucleotide ribosomal RNA is filed under the name uncultured bacterium. RNAcentral describes it as "partial 16S ribosomal RNA". It matches the Rfam family "Bacterial small subunit ribosomal RNA", at positions 524 to 776 of the family's 1533-position model. The record is from RNAcentral.